AUACGUAGGUGACAAGCGUUAUCCGGAUUUACUGGGCGUAAAGGGCGUGUAGGCGGUCUUGCAAGUCAGAAGUGAAAUUCCUGAGCUCAACUCGGGCGCUGCUUCUGAAACUGCAGGACUUGAGUGCUGGAGGGGAUAGCGGAAUUCCUAGUGGAGCGGUAAAAUGCGCAGAUAUUAGGAAGAACACCGGUGGCGAAGGCGGCUAGCUGGACAGUAACUGACGCUGAGGCGCGAAAGCGUGGGGAGCAAACAGGAUUAGAUCCCCUGGUAGUCCACGCCGUAAACGAUGAAUACUAGGUGUAGGGGGUAUCGACUCCCUCUGUGCCGCAGUUAACACAAUAAGUAUUCCGCCUGGGGAGUACGGCCGCAAGGUUGAAACUCAAAUGAAUUGACGGGG
RNAcentral lists this ribosomal RNA (397 nucleotides) under uncultured bacterium. RNAcentral's name for it is "partial 16S ribosomal RNA". It matches the Rfam family "Bacterial small subunit ribosomal RNA", at positions 523 to 918 of the family's 1533-position model. The record is from RNAcentral.